ACAUAUGUGUCCUUAUCCCUGGCUGCAACAUCUGUCACCCCACUGAUCGCCAGGGUUGAUUUGGCUGAUCUGGCUAGCUAGGCAGGUGUCCCCCCCCAACCCCCCCACCGAUCCAUGUGCAUCCCUGCCGAAGCUGCGCGCUCAGUGGAAGAUGACCUUCCCCCCAGACGAGAGGACCAGUCUUAGGUCAAGGGUUUACGAGUAGCUGAGCUCCCCUGCUAGAACCUCCAAACAAGCUCUCAAAGAGUACUUUAAAGAAGGGAUUGGAUAUUAUCCUAUUAUCCAUUGUUAAUUUUUAAAAGACAUUUAAAAUCUUUGUUAAU
RNAcentral lists this small nuclear RNA (323 nucleotides) under Myotis brandtii (Brandt's bat). Its description in RNAcentral is "7SK RNA". It matches the Rfam family "7SK RNA". From Rfam's summary of the family: 7SK was discovered as an abundant small nuclear RNA in the mid-70s but a possible function has only recently been suggested. Two independent studies have found that 7SK RNA binds the CDK9/cyclin T complex (known as elongation factor P-TEFb). Lineage: Eukaryota; Metazoa; Chordata; Mammalia; Chiroptera; Vespertilionidae. The record is from Rfam by way of RNAcentral.